Long non-coding RNA from Ipomoea nil (Japanese morning glory), 926 nucleotides. RefSeq lists it as uncharacterized. The record is from RefSeq and is a predicted model, not a curated record. The transcript has 3 exons. Lineage: Eukaryota; Viridiplantae; Streptophyta; Magnoliopsida; Solanales; Convolvulaceae.
ACGGUAUAUCAUAUAUGAUAACAAGCAAAAACAGCUCUGCACGAGUUUCUCCAUUUAUUUGUUUUUCAUUUUUUGGGUACGUUUGAUGGGAAAAUGAACUGAACCUGAAACCCUGAUACCGUUGGACUACAAAAUCAUUGUUAACUCUCUUAACUUUACUGGACCUGGAUUAAGGAUAAGAGUGGCAACAAGUUGAUAGAACAGAUCAUUAACAGGUAACAGUAGAGAUAACCCAACUGUUUUCAGAACUUAAAUUUUAUCUUUCUUUUUGUUUGCUUUAACCCACUUGGUGGUUUAACGUAUGGUGAUUAGUUCAUUUGCUCAUGUUGUGGUGGAUAGUGGGAUUUCGCCAACACCAUUUGUUUCUUUUACAGGGAGAGAUCAGUUCAGAUCUAGUAGGACCACUAAAGCCAUACUGGGGAUUUGGAGUUUGACUACUCUGCACCGCAAAUUGGUCCCCUAGCACUAUCCGGCAUAAUUAUAGUGUUAAAAUAAGACUUGUUAUCUGAUAGUUAGGAAGUCAAAAUGACUAAUGUACAUGAUUGAUGCCCACUUGGAAAUGAAGAGAUGAGAGGGCAUGGAUAAUGGUGGUAGAGCAUAGAGGAGGAGGUUGAAGAAACAUGCCAAGUAAGUGGUAAAUGAUGUUAUCAUCACAACAUGCUUUGGUAUACAUUGGGGUGGGGUGCAAUUUAUGUCUCAUUUUUUUACUUUUUUAUUUUGCUUUGAGUGGGUUGGCUCAUUCCUCUUAUGCAUCUUCCUAGAAAGGCAAAAGAUUAAAUGGGAAGGCUAUUGACAAGCUGAAAGUUACAAAUGGAUAAUCCUACAUGUCCACUAAUGUGCACUUUGCAAUUAUGUCUUGAGCAUUUCAUUUUCGGAUCAUGAUUUUCAUUGAGAAUUUUCGAAAACAAUAGAAAAGUAGUUUUAGU